CUCUCUCUCUCUCUCUCUCUCUCUCUACCUUUCGCUUUGUCCUUUACUAUCGACUCCUCCUCAUUCCUCCAUCUCAUCCUCUCCUUCUCUUUCUUCUGUAAAGCUUUCGCGGCUAUCGAUCGCUCCUUAUGACAUGGGGGUUCAUCGCCAAAGAAGAGACGUUAUCGUGUUUACGUGUGUGACAACUUAGGCGAGAUAUCGAAUCGUCGAGAUACCAAAUGAUGAAAGGAAUCCGAGAAUAAGACGAACGAGAUGAUGCAUCAUAAGACGUCGACGGAGUUUGAGUUUAACACAUGUCGAGCGAAUAUGUUACGAAACGAGAAGAAAGAAGCAAGGAAAGAAAAGAAAAGAAAAGAAAAUAGAAAGAUAAACGAGAAAAGAAAAGGAAAUAACAAAUACAACCAUGAUGAAAACCAUCCAACGGACUAUCCUGUUUGCAAUCAUAUCUUCAAUUCUAUUAGAUCCCAUUGUUGUGUUACUACAAGAAACGAAAUGGAUGGGUUAAAAAUUUGAGUAAAACCACUAACUUAGGAAUUUUUGGCUCGUCUGUACAUUUAUUCGAAAAAAAAAAGAAAAAAAAAGAAAAAAAAAAGAAAGAGAAAAAAUACACAUCUAUCUAUCACGAAUUGAAUUCGAAUCGAUAUCGAGUUGGAAAUUCGAGAUGACGAAAUCCACGACGAGUAGUCAGAAAGUCUCGUAGAAAUUGAUUUCGUGUCGAGACUUUAAAAAAAAGGAACGAGCGACGGACGAACGAUCCGUUUAAAAUUUUGUCGAAUUGAUCGUAAGAAAGGAAGAAAGAAAAAAAAAAGAAAAAAAAAAAAAGAACGAAUGUUCUUCGUUCGUGGUAAAGCUCAACGAUUGUUUCGCAAGUGAAACCAGACGAUGCCAGAGGGAAAGACGAGAAUAUAAGACAUAAUUAACGGAGCUUCUACCGCUGUUGAUUUAUCAAAUUUCCUUGAUUUAUCCGCGACAUUAUCCGUUUCUACAACUUUCUGUUUGCGCAAACUUCGCGUAUUGAGAAGCACACUUGAAACUCUUGAAAGUUCGUAAACUCUCUCUCUCUCUCUCACUCUCUCUCUUUCUCUCUCUUUCUCUUUCUCUCUCUCUCUUUCUCGUUCUCUCUCUCUCUCUUUCUCUCUCAACGUUCCUUCCGAACAGAGGCUUCAACCCAUUUUACUCUUCCAAACUCCCUCUCGACGGAUCAAUACCGAGGAUAUAAUAAAGGUAAACAAGAAUACGAGAUGAAUACUCUACGUAUACACGUUUUACUCGAACGCUCGCAAGUAAAACGCCAAGUAGAAUGAGAAGGAACUGGUAGAUAAAUAAUACAAGAGAUGGUGCAAGCACAGGUGGUUCGAUUCUUUCCAAAAUCAAUAUAUAUAUAUAUAUAUAUAU
This is a long non-coding RNA of Vespa crabro (European hornet), 1395 nucleotides long. RefSeq lists it as uncharacterized. The transcript has 3 exons. The record is from RefSeq and is a predicted model, not a curated record. Lineage: Eukaryota; Metazoa; Arthropoda; Insecta; Hymenoptera; Vespidae.